Alnus glutinosa is the source of this 498-nucleotide long non-coding RNA. RefSeq lists it as uncharacterized. Lineage: Eukaryota; Viridiplantae; Streptophyta; Magnoliopsida; Fagales; Betulaceae. The record is from RefSeq and is a predicted model, not a curated record. The transcript has 2 exons.
CUCCAUUUCACGCAGCCCCUCCCUCUCCCUUCUUCACAUUGCUCUCUUCCACAUUUCUUCUUCACUCACUCACACACACAUGGCCGUGAGAGAGAGAGCUGCCAUGGGAGAGAUUGAUGCCGAGAGUGAGACGUUGCAGAUUUUUGAGAGGGAGAUUUAGAGCAUGAUGCAGAGAAGAGAAAGAAGAAGUCCGGUUAUGGGUCGUUUGUGAGCCGUAUAGAUGAUGUUCAUUUGGCUGUAGGUACUCCAGUCGUAGUUGAUGGUGUUGUAGAUGUGCACUUGGGAUAUUAUGACUGAAACUUGCUGCGACGGUCGUAGUUGCAGAACCAUAGGCAUCCUCUAUUUUAUGGGUUUUGUUUAUGGUUUGUGACACCUGUGUCACUUAUUAUUAUAUAAGGUCAUUUAUGUUAUGUAUUUAAUUUGAAGAAAGACUUAAAUAGAUAUAUGUAAUAUUGGCUCUUGAUUAUGAUUAAUUUAUGAUAGAUGUUUAAGAUGUGA